CUAGCGACUUCGAGAGUUUGAUCCUGGCUCAGGACGAACGCUGGCGGCGUGCUUAACACAUGCAAGUCGAACGAGGAUACAUCGCGGAAGGCUUCGGCCGGAAGGGGUGUAUUCGAGUGGCGGACGGGUGAGUAACGCGUGAGCAACCUGUCCCAGACAGGGGGAUAACACUUGGAAACAGGUGCUAAUACCGCAUAAGACCACGUCCUCACAUGGGGAUGAGGUAAAAGGAGCAAUCCGGUUUGGGGUGGGCUCGCGUCCGAUUAGAUAGUUGGUGAGGUAACGGCCCACCAAGUCGACGAUCGGUAGCCGACCUGAGAGGGUGAUCGGCCACAUUGGAACUGAGAGACGGUCCAA
This 357-nucleotide ribosomal RNA is filed under the name uncultured bacterium. Its description in RNAcentral is "bacterial SSU rRNA". It matches the Rfam family "Bacterial small subunit ribosomal RNA", at positions 1 to 334 of the family's 1533-position model. The record is from RNAcentral.